AGAGUCAACGCUGGCGGCGUGCCUAACACAUGCAAGUCGAACGCGAAAGCCCCGCAAGGGGUCAGUAGAAUGGCAAACGGGUGAGUAACACGUGGGUGAUCUGCCUCAGAGUGGGGGAUAACGACCCGAGAGGGUCGCUAAUACCGCAUAACAUCCUGCGCUUGGAUGCGUGGAGAUCAAAGUUGGGGAUUCGCAAGAACCUGACGCUUGGAGAGGAGCCCGCGGCCGAUUAGCUAGUUGGUGAGGUAACGGCUCACCAAGGCAACGAUCGGUA
This 274-nucleotide ribosomal RNA is filed under the name uncultured bacterium. RNAcentral's name for it is "partial small subunit ribosomal RNA". It matches the Rfam family "Bacterial small subunit ribosomal RNA", at positions 26 to 285 of the family's 1533-position model. The record is from RNAcentral.